CCUUAGAAGUGCCCGGCAGGCCGCGGUAAGUGGCCAAAAAAUAUUGAGAUACUUCCCUAGAAGCCCCUUUUGAAAAACUAUGACUUAUUAGCUUCCUCUUUCCUGUUUUCAUAAUUAAGGAUCAAUAAAUAUAUAUGACAGGUCACAGAUGUUAUAAACCAUCUUCAUUCAACUUGGCUCUACCUUUCUCUCCCUCUCUCUCUCUCUGUGUGCAUGAAAAUGCGUGUGCAAUUAACGUUUUCUUCCCCUCCAAUAAAAUUCUGGACCUUUUUGGUAGUUUGAGUAGUGCUGCUGCCACUGAGUUUGAGAAUUGAGAUCAUAAAGUACAUACAUCUUUCUCUUGAAGAUAUCAGAGUUCAGAUCUUCGCCGUUAAUAUGCUCAGAUCUCUAGCUAGAGAGUUUAAGCUGAACAGCUGCAAUGAUUUUCUCUUGAAGCGAACGAGACUUUUUUCAACAAGAGCUGGUGGUGGCCAUGGAAGGUAUUUUAUUUAUCCGACUCAUCUCAUCAUACAUAUAUAUAUAGCUUCAGAUUUGGUUUAUUAUACCUGAAUACGGAUGCGAUGUUGUCCUGGCUAGCUGCAGAUUCAAAGUUGUUAUUCAUUUUUGUUUCUCCUAGCUAAUAUCUCUAAAUUCUAAUAAUAAUAAGUUUCAUACCUCCCCUUCCACUGUGUCAAUUGUCACUCAGUAUUUGCGCCGUUCAUUUCAUUUCAUACUGUCUGUUUUUGGUGUUCAUUUAGGCAUAUUUUGCGCCAUAUUCAUAUUGUCUACUGCACUGCAUAGUGUUGGUACAGCUGUUUGACAUUCAAAUUAGCCAAAAAGAAAAGAAGUUCAUUUUUCAAGUAAUUUCCCCAAAGUGAUAAAUUAAGAGUAUUCAUAAUGGACUCUUUAAAUCACCUCCUUAGAUAAAUUAAAUUUUACAUAACA
Molecule: non-coding RNA, 924 nt
Organism: Prunus avium (sweet cherry)
Lineage: Eukaryota; Viridiplantae; Streptophyta; Magnoliopsida; Rosales; Rosaceae
Source: RefSeq, a predicted model, not a curated record